CAGUCGCCACGGUAAUACGUAGGGUGCAAGCGUUGUCCGGAAUCAUUGGGCGUAAAGCGCGCGUAGGUGGCCAUUUAAGUCCGCUGUGAAAGUCAAAGGCUCAACCUUUGAAAGCCGGAGGAUACUGGAUGGCUAGAGUACGGAAGAGGCGAGUGGAAUUCCUGGUGUAGCGGUGGAAUGCGCAGAUAUCAGGAGGAACACCAAUAGCGUAGGCAGCUCGCUGGGACGUUACUGACACUAAGGCGCGAAAGCGUGGGGAGCGAACAGGAUUAGAUACCCCGGUAGUCCCUGUCUCUUAUAC
This 301-nucleotide ribosomal RNA is filed under the name uncultured bacterium. Its description in RNAcentral is "partial 16S ribosomal RNA". It matches the Rfam family "Bacterial small subunit ribosomal RNA", at positions 509 to 807 of the family's 1533-position model. The record is from RNAcentral.